RNAcentral lists this long non-coding RNA (615 nucleotides) under Medicago truncatula (barrel medic). Its description in RNAcentral is "long non-coding RNA (MTRU_LNC001837)". Lineage: Eukaryota; Viridiplantae; Streptophyta; Magnoliopsida; Fabales; Fabaceae. The record is from RNAcentral.
AAGUAUGCAAUUUUUCAUACCAUUUUCAAAUUUUCUAACUUAUCUUAAACAAAAUAUUUUAUCACCUUUAACUAACAAUUCUCUUUCUUAUUUGACAAAGCAGCUACCAUUCCCUGCACUUCUAUAGAUGACUGUCCAAAGAUGCCUUUAGUUGUAAAGUGUAUUGAUAAUUUUUGUAACUACUUUGAAAUUAAGUAACAAAAAUUACAUGUUACCUCUAUCCAUAUAAUUUUCUUUGUAUUUAAUAAUGAUUGUAAUUUACUUCACAAAUUUAUUUUUGAUUGUUCGCCAUUUCAAAUUUAAUGACAAGUUUAAUGAUUUAUUCUUAUAAUAUACAAGCAUUGUCACCUUAUUUUUUUCAUUGAAGAUAUCGUAAAAGACAAUGUCAUUGCAUGAUUAUAAUAAAUUACUUCAGUAAUUAAUUAGAUGGGGUAUAAUAUUAACUUGUAUAGAUUGGUUUAAUAUUGGUCACAUGAUUAGAUUAUGACCAGAUUGAAUCUUUAUUCAUAUAUUAUAAUUAGAUAAGUUGUGGUCUAGAUUGUAAUACCUUAAGACACCGACUUUUAUUUAUUAAUUAAAAGAAUAUAUUUAUUUAAAUAGGUGUUACACAUACUC